GACGAACGCUGGCGGCGUGCUUAACACAUGCAAGUCGAACGGAAAGGCCCUGCUUUUGUGGGGUGCUCGAGUGGCGAACGGGUGAGUAACACGUGAGUAACCUGCCCUUGACUUUGGGAUAACUUCAGGAAACUGGGGCUAAUACCGGAUAGGAGCUCCUGCUGCAUGGUGGGGGUUGGAAAGUUUCGGCGGUUGGGGAUGGACUCGCGGCUUAUCAGCUUGUUGGUGGGGUAGUGGCUUACCAAGGCUUUGACGGGUAGCCGGCCUGAGAGGGUGAGCAGCCACACUGGGACUGAGACACGGCCCGGGCUCCUACGGGAGGCAGCAGGGGGGAAUGUUGGACAAUGGGCGAAAGCCGGAUCCAGCAAUGCCGCGUGAGUGAUGAAGGCCUUAGGGUUGGAAAGCUCUUUUACCCGGGAUGAUAAUGACAGUACCGGGAGAAUAAGCUCCGGCUAACUCCGUG
This 463-nucleotide ribosomal RNA is filed under the name uncultured bacterium. RNAcentral's name for it is "partial 16S ribosomal RNA". It matches the Rfam family "Bacterial small subunit ribosomal RNA", at positions 28 to 507 of the family's 1533-position model. The record is from RNAcentral.